CCCUUAGAUGUUCUGGGCUGCACGCGCGCUACACUGACGCACGCAACAGGUGCCUGCUCCGAGAGGACGGGGUAAUCAUUUGAGUGUGCGUCGUGAUGGGGAUAGAAUAUUGUAAUUAUUACUCUUCAACGAGGAAUUCCUAGUAAGCGCCAGUCAGCAGCUUGCGCUGAUUACGUCCCUGCCCUUUGUACACACCGCCCGUCGCUCCUACCGAUGGGUGAUCCGGUGAAUGAUUCGGACUUCAGCGGCUCCCCUGGGGUGCGCCGGAGAAAGUUUUGUGAACCUUAUCACUUGGAGGAAGGAGAAGUCGUAACA
RNAcentral lists this ribosomal RNA (315 nucleotides) under uncultured eukaryote. RNAcentral describes it as "partial 18S ribosomal RNA". It matches the Rfam family "Eukaryotic small subunit ribosomal RNA", at positions 1470 to 1796 of the family's 1831-position model. The record is from RNAcentral.